Oreochromis niloticus (Nile tilapia) is the source of this 2041-nucleotide long non-coding RNA. RefSeq annotates it as prothrombin. NCBI's taxonomy places the organism in Eukaryota, Metazoa, Chordata, Actinopteri, Cichliformes, Cichlidae. The transcript has 15 exons. The record is from RefSeq and is a predicted model, not a curated record.
GACGGACAGAGAGACAGAGACGGACAAACAAAGCUAUAGACACACUGAGUACUGCUGGAUCUGGUUCUGAGGUUCUGCUCAGAGGUCUGGAUCAUGAUGGAACCAACAUCAAAACCUGCUGCUGUUCUGCUGCUGUUUCUCCUGCACAGCUGUGUAGCAAACCAUGUUUUUCUCAACAGCCACCUCGCAUCACAGGUUUUGGUCCGGAACAGACGAGCCAAUCAGAUGUUUGAGGAGCUGAAAGCAGGGAACCUGGAGAGAGAGUGUGUGGAGGAAAUCUGCGACCACGAAGAAGCCAGAGAGGUGUUUGAGCAGCCAGAUAAAACAGAAAAAUUCUGGAACAAAUACCUCGACUGUAAAGGAACUCGGAUGUCAAGAACAGCAAAAAACAUCAAUCUCAUCAGAACAUGCAUAGAAGGUCAGUGUAUUUCUGGUCAGGGUAAUGGUGUGAACUACGAAGGAGACAUCAGCAUCACGCAGUCGGGCAGAGUGUGUCAACACUGGAGGCACAGCUUUCCACAUCCUAUCUUUAGAGAGUAUAACGCUUCAGAGCCAGGCAGCAAUUUGAAGGAGAAUUUCUGCAGAAACCCUGACCGUCGUCCAGAAGGACCCUGGUGUUUUACCAAAGACCCAUCUGUCCAGAAAGAAACCUGCAGAGUACCAAUAUGUGGUGAAAACUUUGUCCCACCCACUGUGGCCACGAAACCACACAAACCUAUAGUGUGCUUGCCCAAUAAUGGUAUAGAAUAUAAUGGGGACCUAAGUGUUACCAUAGGAGGUCACACCUGCCUGCCAUGGUCAUUACCGGAGGUAAAAACCCUCAGUCAGGACAAAGAGUUCAUCCCUGAAGUUCAGCUACAGACCAACAAGUGCCGAAAUCCUGACGGUGACUUUGAGGGCCCCUGGUGCUAUGUCAGGAUUGCUGGAAAUAUAACAAUGGACUACUGUGACCUGCAGCUAUGUGAUGACCCGCUAUUAGGGCCUGAGCAAACAACUGUGACCGAAGGCAGGGAGCGCUCCGUCUUAGGUCAGGCCAGGAAAAACCUUUUCAGUCCUCGCACAUUUGGACAAGGAGAGGAUGAUUGUGGACAGCGUCCCCUGUUUGAAAAGAUAAGCAAAACAGAUCAAAAAGAAGCAGAGCUUUUGGAGUCAUACGCAGGGGCUCGUAUCGUUGGGGGUGAUGACGCUGAAGUGGGCUCAGCUCCAUGGCAGGUGAUGCUGUACAAGCGUAGCCCACAGGAGUUAUUGUGUGGAGCCAGUCUGAUCAGUGAUCAGUGGAUCCUCACUGCAGCUCACUGCAUCCUUUACCCACCCUGGAACAAGAACUUCACCAUCAAUGAUAUACUGGUCCGCCUGGGAAAACACAACAGAGCCCAGUUUGAGCGUAACAUUGAGAAGAUUGUGGCAAUUGAUGAAAUCAUUGUCCACCCCAAGUACAACUGGAAGGAAAACCUGAACCGUGACAUCGCUCUGCUGCACAUGAGAAGGCCGGUCAUAUUCACUGAUAAGAUCCAUCCUAUCUGCCUGCCCAGCAAGACGGUCGCCAAGUUUCUGAUGUCUGAAGGCUUUAAGGGCCGAGUUACCGGGUGGGGGAACCUGAAGGAAAGCUGGAACCCUGCAGUGAGAAAUUUACCAUCAGUCCUUCAGCAAAUCCACCUACCGAUAGUGGACCCGAACAUCUGCCGCAGCUCCACUUCAGUCAAGAUCACAGACAACAUGUUCUGUGCUGGUUAUAAACCAGACGAUAACAAUCGUGGAGACGCCUGUGAGGGAGACAGCGGUGGACCUUUUGUAAUGAAGUACCCGGCAGAGAACCGCUGGUAUCAGAUUGGCAUCGUGUCAUGGGGAGAGGGCUGCGAUCGCGACGGGAAGUACGGCUUCUACACUCACCUGUUCAGGAUGACCAGGUGGAUAGGCAAAGUUAUUGAAAAGAUGGGAGGAAGCGAUGAUGAGUAAACACAAGUACUCGAUCAACGUCAAUCACUUCACAUUCAUCCCUGUUAAGCAACAUGGCCCCAAUAAAGAUUGUCAUCGCAUUGUA